Molecule: small nucleolar RNA, 97 nt
Organism: Tripterygium wilfordii
Lineage: Eukaryota; Viridiplantae; Streptophyta; Magnoliopsida; Celastrales; Celastraceae
Source: RefSeq, a predicted model, not a curated record
UGAUUUUUCCAUGAUGAUCAAUGUUCUAAUCCCAGCUCUAUGAGACCCUUUUGAGGUCAGGGAAUUGACUAGAUAACAUUUAUCUGAGUACUUUUCA